RNAcentral lists this ribosomal RNA (852 nucleotides) under uncultured bacterium. RNAcentral describes it as "SSU rRNA". It matches the Rfam family "Bacterial small subunit ribosomal RNA", at positions 524 to 1381 of the family's 1533-position model. The record is from RNAcentral.
UACGGAGGAUCCAAGCGUUAUCCGGAUUUAUUGGGUUUAAAGGGAGCGUAGGUUGACAUAUAAGUCAGCUGUGAAAGUUUACGGCUCAACCGUGAAAUUGCAGUUGAUACUGUAUGUCUUGAGUGUACAAGAGGUGGGCGGAAUUCGUGGUGUAGCGGUGAAAUGCUUAGAUAUCACGAAGAACUCCAAUUGCGAAGGCAGCUCACUGGGGUACAACUGACACUGAGGCUCGAAAGUGUGGGUAUCAAACAGGAUUAGAUACCCUGGUAGUCCACACAGUAAACGAUGAAUACUCGCUGUUUGCGAUACACAGUAAGCGGCCAAGCGAAAGCAUUAAGUAUUCCACCUGGGGAGUACGCCGGCAACGGCGAAACUCAAAGGAAUUGACGGGGGCCCGCACAAGCGGAGGAACAUGUGGUUUAAUUCGAUGAUACGCGAGGAACCUUACCCGGGCUUGAAUUGCAGAGGAACAUAGUUGAAAGAUUAUGGCCGCAAGGUCUCUGUGAAGGUGCUGCAUGGUUGUCGUCAGCUCGUGCCGUGAGGUGUCGGCUUAAGUGCCAUAACGAGCGCAACCCUUAUCAUUAGUUACUAACAGGUCAUGCUGAGGACUCUAGUGAGACUGCCGUCGUAAGAUGUGAGGAAGGUGGGGAUGACGUCAAAUCAGCACGGCCCUUACGUCCGGGGCUACACACGUGUUACAAUGGGGGGUACAGAGGGCAGCUACCGGGCGACCGGAUGCCAAUCCCAAAAACCUCUCUCAGUUCGGAUCGAAGUCUGCAACCCGACUUCGUGAAGCUGGAUUCGCUAGUAAUCGCGCAUCAGCCACGGCGCGGUGAAUACGUUCCCGGGCCU